Small nuclear RNA from Monodelphis domestica (gray short-tailed opossum), 127 nucleotides. The record is from Ensembl. Lineage: Eukaryota; Metazoa; Chordata; Mammalia; Didelphimorphia; Didelphidae.
AUGUUAUAUGAAAGUAGAGAGGGUUAGCACUCCUUUUGAUAGAGAUGGAAGAAGUGCUAGUGGCCUUUCCACUACAUAUAUGAUUAAGAUGUUUCUCUGUGGCAUCUAUCCAUGGGGUCUUAUUUUU